Molecule: transfer RNA, 76 nt
Filed under: Ruminococcus sp.
Lineage: Bacteria; Bacillati; Bacillota; Clostridia; Eubacteriales; Oscillospiraceae
Also listed under: 2 other names
Description: tRNA-Pro
Rfam family: tRNA
About the family: Transfer RNA (tRNA) molecules are approximately 80 nucleotides in length. Their secondary structure includes four short double-helical elements and three loops (D, anti-codon, and T loops). Further hydrogen bonds mediate the characteristic L-shaped molecular structure. tRNAs have two regions of fundamental functional importance: the anti-codon, which is responsible for specific mRNA codon recognition, and the 3' end, to which the tRNAs corresponding amino acid is attached (by aminoacyl-tRNA synthetases). tRNAs cope with the degeneracy of the genetic code in two manners: having more than one tRNA (with a specific anti-codon) for a particular amino acid; and 'wobble' base-pairing, i.e. permitting non-standard base-pairing at the 3rd anti-codon position.
Source: RNAcentral
CGGGGUGUAGCGCAGUUGGUAGCGCGCCUGCUUUGGGAGCAGGAUGUCGGGGGUUCAAAUCCCUUCACUCCGACCA